CAGCCGCCGCGGUAAAACGAAGGGGGCUAGCGUUGUUCGGAAUUACUGGGCGUAAAGCGCACGUAGGCGGACUUUUAAGUCAGGGGUGAAAUCCCGCAGCUCAACUGCGGAACUGCCUUUGAUACUGGGUAUCUUGAGUAUGGAAGAGGUUAGUGGAAUUGCGAGUGUAGAGGUGAAAUUCGUAGAUAUUCGGAAGAACACCAGUGGCGAAGGCGACUGACUGGACAAGUAUUGACGCUGAGGUGCGAAAGCGUGGGGAGCAAACAGGAUUAGAUACCCCUGUAGUCCCUGUUUCUUAUAC
This 301-nucleotide ribosomal RNA is filed under the name uncultured bacterium. RNAcentral describes it as "partial 16S ribosomal RNA". It matches the Rfam family "Bacterial small subunit ribosomal RNA", at positions 509 to 807 of the family's 1533-position model. The record is from RNAcentral.